Molecule: ribosomal RNA, 543 nt
Filed under: Triticum aestivum (bread wheat)
Lineage: Eukaryota; Viridiplantae; Streptophyta; Magnoliopsida; Poales; Poaceae
Description: partial small subunit ribosomal RNA
Source: RNAcentral
AUGGAUGGAUGGGGACGGGGAGACGACAGUGCGGUGGCGGAGACGUCCAUGGCGAACGCGAGCCGACAGCCGGCCAUCUCCGGCAAGCCCGACCACAGCGAUCGCGGAUCUCUGACCAUGGUUGCUCCAGUGCUGUUGUUGCUCCCUCCUCUUCUCUGCGUCCUCCUCCUAGUUGCUGCUCCCUCCUCUGCUCUGCCUCCUCCUCCUAGCUGCUGCUCCCUCCUCUGCUCUGCCUACGUCCUCCAGGGUGUCGUGCUGGCGACCGGGGUUGGAGCGCUCAGAUCGAAGGUGGCCGAGCGCUGGUACUUGCUCUACAAGAUGGACAAGCAGGGGGCCAACCUCAUGUUCAUCUACUGGUGGGAGGACAAGAUAACUUUUGUGGGGGACCGGACGGUGGUGGAGAUGUACAAGUUCCUCAAGAAGCACGCUGCCAUCCCUUUCAACUCUGUUGCAGCUGCGGCCGGCUGUGCUUCUGCCUCGGCUACAAACUGCCUAGGUGAGCUUUAUCCCUCUGUGGCGCCUCUGGUGGCGUUGGACUUGUGA